AUCUACGGCCAUGCCACCCUGAACAAGCCCGAUCCCGUCUGAUCUCGGAAGCUAAACAGGGUUUGGCCUCGUUAGUACUUGGAUAGGAAGACUAGGUGCUGUAGGCA
This 107-nucleotide ribosomal RNA is filed under the name Pteropus alecto (black flying fox). The record is from RNAcentral. Lineage: Eukaryota; Metazoa; Chordata; Mammalia; Chiroptera; Pteropodidae.